Molecule: long non-coding RNA, 1681 nt
Filed under: Homo sapiens (human)
Lineage: Eukaryota; Metazoa; Chordata; Mammalia; Primates; Hominidae
Description: non-protein coding lnc-PLEKHA8-3:5
Source: RNAcentral
GAAUUAGCAUAGGUUUCCUCCGCAACUGAUGCAUCUUCUAACCAGGCUGGGAACACAACACGCGCACACGCGCACACACACACGCACGCACCCACCCCACCCGGCUGCCGGACGCAAGCGUAAGUCAAGGACUUGCAUGCUAGAAUCAGACAGAAAAUCCAGAAAAGCCACGUUAUUUAACAGAACCCUACAAGGUCAGCUUUGAGUCAAAGCAGGUAACAGUUUCCUUCGAUGUUUUCAUGGACAUUUUUAUUCCCAAAUCCGAGUUCUCGCCAAUUCUCUAAAGUUCAAGCGCCCCUCCUGCUUUGCAGACCACAUUUCUCUCGGCCCUCGCGAGUGAGGUCGCCAAAUACUCGACGCCUCAAGAGCGAGCCGAGGAGGCAGAGGCCGACCAAGCCGGCCUCUCGGCAGCCCCGCCCGGCGCCCCGCGGAGAACGCCCGGGUGCGGCUCGAGGGAAGUUGUGUCAAGUCCCACGCGCGGCCCGCGGAGAACCCAGGGGCGGCCCGCGCGCGUCGGCCUAGCGGGGAGGGCUGCUCCGGGACACGGUGCGGCGGCCGCGGGCGAGUUGGACGCGCUGGCAGAGCCGGGCCGAAGGCGGCGGGCGUCUCCGGGCAGCCAUGUUCGCGGCGCCCGCCCGCGCAGCAGGACGGAGCCCUGACAGCAAUGUUUGCUACGGCCUCCCUCUGCAGUCAGCCUAAAGCAAGGAGCUGGAGGUAGAUGAGGCAAAGGUAAAGGAGACCAAAACAGUAUUUUAAAGAAAAAAUCAUUUAUCUUCAAAUAGGCUCCAAACCUAAGAUGGUGUAUACUGUUAGAGGACAAGAACCUGCUUCUAGCCAUCUUUGCGUCUCCAGGACCUGACUUGUGACCAUUCAAUAAGAGUUUGAUAGAUGGACAGACUAAUGAAUAGAUGAAGAUGAUUAGAAGCCAAAAUUUCUGAAUCUUCCUAGCACCCAGAACAUGGCUUAACAUCAAGGAAAUGCUCACUAAAUACUGUCAUAAUGGAAUGAAUGGAACCGAUGCCUAAUUGAAAAUCAUUAGGCUGUAAACCAUUUCCAUGUUCCAAUUUCUUCGUUUAUAGAACAGAAAUGAUAGUGUAACCACCUGAAAAUCCUUCACCUAGACUUCCAAAACCACACCCACCUCAUCAAUGAAGUCUGACUCUCUAGAAAGAAGCAAAUGACUGAAAUCAUGGUCCUGUGCCUUGACCAAAAUACCAUUCGUCAGAACAAAAGAAGUAGGUCAGUGAAACGGCAUUAGUAUAUCCUUCAACAGGCAAAUAAGUGAUAGUGUAGUUUGCUUUUGAAGUCGCUGUGAAAAGUUUUAGGUGAACAUCACCUACACCACAUUAAAAAUGGAAUCAAGUCAUUUUCUUUAAGAAAUGGAGUUUGAGAUAUGAGAAUUCUUUUGGGCUUUUUCUACUUAUUGGCCAAUUAUACACCCAGAUAUAUUUCUGCAAUAUUUCAAAGAUUCUAGUUCUAAUUUGUAUAAUAAAAAAAAUUAACAGCCUUUUCCAGACCACAUGUUUCCAACAAGACCUUCAAAGGCCUCGCUCGCUAUAUAAAACUGGCUUUAAACAAUUUCCUUUCCCAAAGAAGGAAAUAAGAUAUUUCGGUUUUGUAAAAGAGGCAAAACCAGGUACAGGCCACCUUUCCUGCUGGAGAGCUGGCAUAAGUGAGUGGA